GCCGGAACUGCGAAGAUGGAUAAUCGCGACGGACUGUAAAACAGUUCUCAUUGAGUGAGUAGGUUCGAACCCUACUUCCGGCA
Molecule: transfer RNA, 83 nt
Rfam family: tRNA
About the family: Transfer RNA (tRNA) molecules are approximately 80 nucleotides in length. Their secondary structure includes four short double-helical elements and three loops (D, anti-codon, and T loops).
Source: Rfam